This 253-nucleotide ribosomal RNA is filed under the name uncultured bacterium. RNAcentral describes it as "partial 16S ribosomal RNA". It matches the Rfam family "Bacterial small subunit ribosomal RNA", at positions 524 to 776 of the family's 1533-position model. The record is from RNAcentral.
UACGUAGGGGGCAAGCGUUAUCCGGAUUUAUUGGGCGUAAAGAGCUCGUAGGCGGUCUGUCGCGUCGGCUGUGAAAACCCAUGGCUCAACUGUGGGCUUGCGGUCGAUACGGGCAGGCUGGAGUUCGGUAGGGGAGACUGGAAUUCCUGGUGUAGCGGUGAAAUGCGCAGAUAUCAGGAGGAACACCGGUGGCGAAGGCGGGUCUCUGGGCCGAUACUGACGCCGAGGAGCGAAAGCGUGGGGAGCGAACAGG